GGCAGACUUGACGCAGGGCUUAUUUUAACUACGUCUCUACCGGAAGUAGCUCGCACUAUAAAUUUGUCGUCAGUUCCUGCAUCUUCCUCUCUUAACCAUGCGGUGCAGAGUUUCAGACGCGGUUUCAACAUGUUAUCUCCUCUUAAUGCAGGCAAAGUGGUCUGGAGGUGCUGCUGAUGAUGGAGGCAGAUGUGCUCAAGGUCUCAUCUGAGAGCAGCCUGGACAUCCAGGUGGAGUAGCAUGUCUCCAAGAGGAGGAGUGAUGAUGUGUAAAUUAUGACCCUGACUGUCAGCAGCCAUCGAGAAUCCAUUUGAUGUGUUUGCCCUUUCCACCAGGAACACAGGACAGAUGGAGAAGGGGGGGAAAGCCACUUGGCAAGGAGGAUUACCAAGACAGGUGAACCAUCCCAGCAGACAGGUCUGAGGAUGUUCAGGUGCCCUCUGUGCCCAUCCAGCAGAUCCAGAAUGGCAUCGAAGAGGGUUGGAGUGUCCAGACUGCCACCGAAGACUGGUCUACAGCUCCCACUGCACAGGACUGCGGUGAUCCUAGUUUUGACUGGUCCAAAGUCAUGCAAAUCUAAACAUGAGAAAUGCAUAACUCUAUGAACUGAAAUCAAUAAAGCUGGUUAUUCAUGAAACUG
Molecule: long non-coding RNA, 640 nt
Organism: Larimichthys crocea (large yellow croaker)
Lineage: Eukaryota; Metazoa; Chordata; Actinopteri; Sciaenidae
Exons: 5
Source: RefSeq, a predicted model, not a curated record